GACGAACGCUGGCGGCGUGCUUAACACAUGCAAGUCGAACGGUGAAGCUCCAGCUUGCUGGAGUGGAUCAGUGGCGAACGGGUGAGUAACACGUGAGCAACCUGCCCCAGACUCUGGAAUAAGCGCUGGAAACGGCGUCUAAUACUGGAUACGAGAUCAAGCCGCAUGGUUAUGGUCUGGAAAGUUUUUCGGUUUGGGAUGGGCUCGCGGCCUAUCAGCUUGUUGGUGAGGUAAUGGCUCACCAAGGCGACGACGGGUAGCCGGCCUGAGAGGGCGACCGGCCACACCGGGACUGAGACACGGCCCAGACUCCUACGGGAGGCAGCAGUGGGGAAUAUUGCACAAUGGGCGAAAGCCUGAUGCAGCGACGCCGCGUGAGGGAUGACGGCCUUCGGGUUGUAAACCUCUUUCAGCAGGGAAGAAGCGAAAGUGACGGUACCUGCAGAAGAAGCACCGGCUAACUACGUG
RNAcentral lists this ribosomal RNA (468 nucleotides) under uncultured bacterium. Its description in RNAcentral is "partial 16S ribosomal RNA". It matches the Rfam family "Bacterial small subunit ribosomal RNA", at positions 28 to 507 of the family's 1533-position model. The record is from RNAcentral.